Long non-coding RNA from Podarcis raffonei (Aeolian wall lizard), 1141 nucleotides. RefSeq lists it as uncharacterized. The record is from RefSeq and is a predicted model, not a curated record. Lineage: Eukaryota; Metazoa; Chordata; Lepidosauria; Squamata; Lacertidae. The transcript has 2 exons.
AAGUUCGUUUUGAGGGUGGGGGAAGGGCAGCUGAGGUAACGGGGCUGCCCCUUUCCCUCAGAAGAAAGCGAGCCGGGGAAACACUGAAACUGUUUAAGUCAUUUUGGAACAAAUAUUGUAUGGAUUUGGAUUUGAUAUCCCGCUUUAUCACUACCCAAAGGAGUCUCAAAGCGGCUAACACUCUCCUUUCCCUUCCUCCCCCACAACAAACACUCUGUGAGGUGAGUGAGGCUGAGAGACUUCAGAGAAGUGUGACUGGCCCAAGGUCACCCAGCGGCUGCAUGUGGAGGAGCAGGGAAUCGAACCCGGUUCACCAGAUUACGAGUCCACCGCUCUUAACCACUACACCACACUGGCUUUCCAAGGAAGCCAUGACUACAGAGUCAUAAUGCCUGGAAGUUGGGCAUGUAGGAGGAGCUGGGACAGUCAUUUAAAACCAGAAUGAAGAUAUUGCUUGUGUAAAAAUAUAUUUAAGGUUUGGGGGUAGGCGGGUUCAGAAAGGGGAUUGAUAAGUGUCCAUUAAAGAAAGGGGAGCGAGAUUUGGGGAUGGAAUCACAACAGUUGAUGCUGAAAACAGAGAAAAUUCCUCAUCCAAAGAGAAGCUGAAAAGCGGCAUGAAAAUGUUACAAGGCUGGAGCCCAGGUGCUAAGUUGGUGUUAAGAAAGCAAAGCUGCUCAGAGUUAACAGCACUUCCGAAAGCAGAUGAAAAGGUGUAUGUUGUAAUAGACCCUUCAGAGGGUGAACCUCAGAUGCUCAAACAACAUCAUGCUCAAUCAGGGCACCAGGGAAUGGACAAGACAGGCUCUCCGUAGCCCUGGGGAUAUUUUAUGCACAAAACUUUUCAGAUAACAGUGCAAGAAAUUAGCUCACCUUGCCAUUGUGCCUAAUGCUUAGUUGAUUGCUUUCACAGGCAAUCACUGGCUGAAUCCCUGGAGCUUUGCUAAGAAUUAAGAAUAAUUAUAAGGGAAAGAAGCAUCACCUUGGCAACAUUCCAGUGGCGCAGGUGCAGAGCAGAAGAAAAACAUGUUUUUGGGAUAUCACAGAAGUGUCUCCCUGGUGUCGACUUGGCCAUUAACGGACAAAGCACUUUCGUAAAAUUGGGGACCAAUGUAUUAUUUUAUGAUAUAUGUGAAUGUGUUUG